AUGGGGUUCAUUCACAAGGGUGGGGUUUGGUGGUUCCUCCUGCUCGCCGGGGUGCUGCUGGCUGCGGCGGCGGCAGCAGGCGCGGAGCAGGACGAUGGGGCGGUAGCCACUGCUGUCCCGGAGGUGGAGGAGGCGGAUGAGGCCCGUCUGCGCGUCGAUGAUCCGGAGGAGAACGACUCGUGCGACCUCAAGUGCCAACACCACCAAGUUCCGGCGAGGAAAAAGCAGGCACAACAUUUUAAGAACCAACAUGUGCUUAGAUGGUUAGGAGAGUGGUUGUACCCAGCCCAUCAGAGAUCAAAAGCCCAGGCAAACAAGCCCUUUGUAGAGUGCCUGGAGGAACAUCUUCGAGAAGGAAUCACUCUUUUGAAAGGGAACAUCUAA
Molecule: ribosomal RNA, 384 nt
Filed under: Triticum aestivum (bread wheat)
Lineage: Eukaryota; Viridiplantae; Streptophyta; Magnoliopsida; Poales; Poaceae
Description: partial small subunit ribosomal RNA
Source: RNAcentral